UACGAAGGGGGCUAGCGUUGCUCGGAAUCACUGGGCGUAAAGGGUGCGUAGGCGGGUCUUUAAGUCAGGGGUGAAAUCCUGGAGCUCAACUCCAGAACUGCCUUUGAUACUGAGGAUCUUGAGUCCGGGAGAGGUGAGUGGAACUGCGAGUGUAGAGGUGAAAUUCGUAGAUAUUCGCAAGAACACCAGUGGCGAAGGCGGCUUACUGGUCCGGUUCUGACGCUGAGGCGCGAAAGCGUGGGGAGCAAACAGG
RNAcentral lists this ribosomal RNA (253 nucleotides) under uncultured bacterium. Its description in RNAcentral is "partial 16S ribosomal RNA". It matches the Rfam family "Bacterial small subunit ribosomal RNA", at positions 524 to 776 of the family's 1533-position model. The record is from RNAcentral.